Molecule: small nucleolar RNA, 134 nt
Filed under: Leptobrachium leishanense (Leishan spiny toad)
Lineage: Eukaryota; Metazoa; Chordata; Amphibia; Anura; Megophryidae
Source: RNAcentral
UUGGACCUGAAUCAAGGCUGGUAGCUUGCUGUAGCUGCUGGUUUCAAGCAGGAGCCAAGAGAAACUACUUCCUAUGGUCUGUUGGAUGUGCCAGUGACCACCGGGCUCAUCCAAUUCAGUUGGAAGGUACAGUU